This is a long non-coding RNA of Tachysurus vachellii, 535 nucleotides long. RefSeq lists it as uncharacterized. The transcript is spliced from 2 exons. The record is from RefSeq and is a predicted model, not a curated record. NCBI's taxonomy places the organism in Eukaryota, Metazoa, Chordata, Actinopteri, Siluriformes, Bagridae.
UACAGGCACCACAAGGAAGACUUUCACUCCAGCAAGUCACUACAGCAUUGGAUGAGAUGAAUGAUUUAUUUGUGAAGUUUCGACGUUGCCCAGCAGUGAAUGCCUCAGAGCCUUUUAUAUUGAUGGCUUCUGAAAGCCAGAGAGAUGCGACGGACCUACUCAAAGCUGUGUAGCUGUUUGAAAUCCUGUGGUCAGCCAGGGGGGAAAUGACCUUCAUCCAGUACAGGUGAAGGGCACUGUGGGAGACUGGUGUUGGUCAGACAUAAGUGAACACCUGCUGUUUACUUCAGCUGAAAGCCAGCAUGUGUUGUGCGCAAAAACUAGAAUAAUGCUUUGAAUUUUGCUCAGCAGUCAGGAAGAAUAUUUUGUUGUAUUGUAUUUCCUAUACAUGUAAGAAAUUAUAUAUGAUAUUUACUAAACAUGAUGCUACUGUGAACAUCUAAAAAUAAUGCCACUGUUGACUCAUGCUUUGGGCGACAAACUUUUUAUCCAUAUUUGACUUUUUCAGUAAAUUAAAUUUUAAUUAUUUUUGUAA